RNAcentral lists this ribosomal RNA (328 nucleotides) under uncultured eukaryote. Its description in RNAcentral is "partial 18S ribosomal RNA". It matches the Rfam family "Eukaryotic small subunit ribosomal RNA", at positions 1470 to 1796 of the family's 1831-position model. The record is from RNAcentral.
CCCUUAGAUGUCCUGGGCCGCACGCGCGUUACACUGAUGCACUCAACGAGCAUAUAACCUUGGCCGAGAGGCCUGGGUAAUCUUGUUAACAUGCAUCGUGAUAGGGAUAGAUUAUUGCAAUUAUUAAUCUUGAACGAGGAAUUCCUAGUAAUCGCGGAUCAUCAAUCCGCAAUGAUUACGUCCCUGCCCUUUGUACACACCGCCCGUCGCUCCUACCGAUUGAGUGGUCCGGUGAGGCUUUGGGAUCUGAGCGGAAAGAGCGUUUCGCUGUUUCUGCCCGGAAAACUCAGUCGAACCUUAUCAUUUAGAGGAAGGAGAAGUCGUAACA